GGUGGGGUAGCUCAGAUGGUAGAGCAUGAAACUCUUCAUCUCAGGGUUGUGGGUUUGAGCCCCAUGUUGGGUG
RNAcentral lists this transfer RNA (73 nucleotides) under Podarcis lilfordi (Lilford's wall lizard). RNAcentral describes it as "tRNA.Lys". The record is from RNAcentral. Lineage: Eukaryota; Metazoa; Chordata; Lepidosauria; Squamata; Lacertidae.